Molecule: RNA transcript, 3727 nt
Organism: Homo sapiens (human)
Lineage: Eukaryota; Metazoa; Chordata; Mammalia; Primates; Hominidae
Gene: ADCK1
Gene name: aarF domain containing kinase 1
Exons: 11
Source: RefSeq, marked validated
GCUAAUUCCCCGCUACCGGGUUGCGGCCGGAAGCCGGGCGCCGCGGCUCUGCUUCCCUCGGGGAUCUGGCGACAUGGCCAGAAAGGCUCUCAAGCUUGCUUCGUGGACCAGCAUGGCUCUUGCUGCCUCUGGCAUCUACUUCUACAGUAACAAGUACUUGGACCCUAAUGACUUUGGCGCUGUCAGGGUGGGCAGAGCAGUUGCUACGACGGCUGUCAUCAGUUACGACUACCUCACUUCCCUGAAGAGUGUCCCUUAUGGCUCAGAGGAGUACUUGCAGCUGAGAUCUAAGGUGCACCUUCGCUCUGCCAGGCGUCUCUGUGAGCUCUGCUGUGCCAACCGGGGCACCUUCAUCAAGGUGGGCCAGCACCUGGGGGCUCUGGACUACCUGUUGCCAGAGGAGUACACCAGCACGCUGAAGGUACUGCACAGCCAGGCUCCACAGAGCAGCAUGCAAGAGAUCCGCCAGGUCAUCCGAGAAGAUCUGGGCAAGGAGAUCCAUGAUUUGUUCCAGAGCUUCGAUGACACCCCUCUGGGGACGGCCUCCCUGGCCCAGGUCCACAAGGCAGUGCUGCAUGAUGGGCGGACGGUGGCCGUGAAGGUCCAGCACCCAAAGGUGCGGGCUCAGAGCUCGAAGGACAUUCUCCUGAUGGAGGUGCUCGUUCUGGCUGUGAAGCAGCUGUUCCCAGAGUUUGAGUUUAUGUGGCUUGUGGAUGAAGCCAAGAAGAACCUGCCUUUGGAGCUGGAUUUCCUCAAUGAAGGGAGGAAUGCUGAGAAGGUGUCCCAGAUGCUCAGGCAUUUUGACUUCUUGAAGGUCCCCCGAAUCCACUGGGACCUGUCCACGGAGCGGGUCCUCCUGAUGGAGUUUGUGGAUGGCGGGCAGGUCAAUGACAGAGACUACAUGGAGAGGAACAAGAUCGACGUCAAUGAGGUGAGGUCAAGAGCUCAGGGCUGCUGUGCCGGGGAACGUGGGCUUGGUCAAGGCUGCCCAGGAAGUGCCUGUGUGUCCAGGUGAGGCCUCAGAGUCUGGCCCCCUUGUCUUUAAUAGGGCCCAUUGUCUGGAGAAUUAUAAACUUUGAGCAAGAAAGAUUCUUUCAGGUCAUUUAGGCCAGCCCUGUGCACACAGCGGCCUGCAGGGACAUGCUGAACCCCUUCUGCCAUUACCUGCUUUUCCUUUGUACCAUCUGAGCCCCACAAAGCUAAGCGGCCACAGAGAACAAUGAUGCAAAAUCAGUGGGACUUAAUCCUUUUGGCUCUGUGGGGCCUGUCUGUUGUCUCUUCCCUCUUCCUGCCCUUCUCUCUCCUUCCCACUUCCCAGAUCUCAAGGGAUCAGGCAAAAAGGGGACAGCAGCAACCAACUGCAUCAGCCUCCUAGAGCAGGAAAAAAGAGAUCUCACGCCACCUGGGCAAGAUGUAUAGUGAGAUGAUCUUCGUCAAUGGCUUCGUGCACUGCGAUCCCCACCCCGGCAAUGUACUGGUGCGGAAGCACCCCGGCACGGGAAAGGCGGAGAUUGUCCUGUUGGACCAUGGGCUUUACCAGAUGCUCACGGAAGAAUUCCGCCUGAAUUACUGCCACCUCUGGCAGUCUCUGAUCUGGACUGACAUGAAGAGAGUGAAGGAGUACAGCCAGCGACUGGGAGCCGGGGAUCUCUACCCCUUGUUUGCCUGCAUGCUGACGGCGCGAUCGUGGGACUCGGUCAACAGAGGCAUCAGCCAAGCUCCCGUCACUGCCACUGAGGACUUAGAGAUUCGCAACAACGCGGCCAACUACCUCCCCCAGAUCAGCCAUCUCCUCAACCACGUGCCGCGCCAGAUGCUGCUCAUCUUGAAGACCAACGACCUGCUGCGUGGCAUUGAGGCCGCCCUGGGCACCCGCGCCAGCGCCAGCUCCUUUCUCAACAUGUCACGUUGCUGCAUCAGAGCGCUAGCUGAGCACAAGAAGAAGAAUACCUGUUCAUUCUUCAGAAGGACCCAGAUCUCUUUCAGCGAGGCCUUCAACUUAUGGCAGAUCAACCUCCAUGAGCUCAUCCUGCGUGUGAAGGGGUUGAAGCUGGCUGACCGGGUCUUGGCCCUAAUAUGCUGGCUGUUCCCUGCUCCACUCUGAGUGGAAUUGCUCUCCCUGCCCCAUUCUGGUGUCUUUCCACUCCUCAGCCCCUCAUCUUGCCUCCACCCAGCUGCUCCAUUUUUGCCACAUCGUGGCCCGCAGCCCCAGAGUCACUGUCCAUGUCACCAUCCUUCUCCUCCUUUGGAAUCCUCUCCGCACACUGUGGCCCUUGUCUCAGGGCCCACAAGCUGAACUGUGGCAUAGCUCUCUCUUCUUCUCCAAGAAGACUCAGCAGCCUACAUUCCCAUUCCUGGUAUGUGCCAUUGGGUUGGAUGUCCCCACUACUUCCGUUAACCCUUCCCAUUGUCAAGAUGUGCCACGGGUGCCACUGGGGGCACACUGAACUUGUAGGGAGUGUGAUUUUGUUGGAGGUGCACAUGGUCUCUGAAUUUGACAGAGAACACCUUCCCUUUCCUUGCCAUGUCACCCUCCAGAGGAAGUCACACCUCAGCGAGGUGGUUUGGCAUCUGGGGCCAACUCCAUUACAGCUAUGAGCUCACUGCUGUCAGUGACGUUUGGUGUUUUCUGUACUGUGUUUCAAUAAAAACUCCUUCAAGGUUGCAGGAUUUGUCCAUCAUAACUCACUGGCCUCCCACCUGACCCCAGGCACGUGCCCUUCCAGAAUGUGCUCAUGGUCCUCGCCAAGGGCUUAUGGUUCCUCUUGGUUGCUGCUUCCUCAGGGUUUCCCAGGGAGAUCUAGGGAACAGAAGGCCAGGGGCUGUUUGGUGGGAUUUUCCUUAUAGGUUGGGAGUUCACCUACAAUGCCCAUUAGGUCAGAGUGGACCUGAAUCGAGUAUUGGUGUGAUCUUCUGCUUGGCUUCUUGCUCCUGUAAUCCUUCCAACCUGUGGGGCCACUUCCACUAUGGGGCCACUUCCUGCUUCUUGGGGGUUUCUCUUACCUUCCAAGACUCAGACUCUGGUUGGAGGAGUUAAGAAGCCCAAGGCCAGGAACUCAGAGGCUCAGCUGAAACCUUGGACCUUGUUUUUCUGUGACCUGGGUACCAACCUUGUUCUACUGUUUCCUGACUUAUCCCUUUGGUUCUCAUUCAGUGGCCCCAGUUUUAGGCCUGGAAUUCUACUUGUCUCCCCCCAGUCCUUCUGGAGACCUUAGUCCUCUUGCUGAAACCUCCGUCACUGUGGCUGGGUUUUCACUGGGAAACUUCUGUGUUUCUACCCCAUUGCUUGCUGCCAGCACUGCCUCUCCCCCCAGCCUGGUUGUCUGCUUCUGUUUCUUGGACAUCCCUAAGCUCCUGCUCUAAUUCCCAUGUCUUUGUCUUUGGCAGGUCCUACUGUCUGCUUUCACGGACAGUAAUUGUAUUUGAGCCUCUCUGAUCUUACUUCACCCAAUUCACAAGGGCAGAAAAAAUCCUGAAUUUGAGCCUAAUUUUCUGUACUCUUUAUUCAUAGUACAGCAAGCAGAUUUUUCAGUGAUCAGUGACAAUUCACAAUCCUUUUAUUUCCCAAAAGAAUUAAUUGUUCUUAGUGACCAGUUGGAUGCACCCAGGGACCUGAGAGUAUAAUUUGCAAUAUCUGAUUAUUAAUCUUGAGGAUGUGUGCUGCAUAGUAUAUUUUAUGGUGUCUUUUAUAGCCACUGAAGUAAAUAUAAAUGUCCUUUCUGUUCAA